Taeniopygia guttata (zebra finch) is the source of this 3238-nucleotide long non-coding RNA. NCBI's taxonomy places the organism in Eukaryota, Metazoa, Chordata, Aves, Passeriformes, Estrildidae. The record is from Ensembl.
UUUUUUUUUUUUUUUUUUUUUUUUUUUUAUUUGACAGUUCACUGCAGUGGCAUCAGAAAGCAUUCCUGAGAUGCCUGUUCCCAUAGUUGCAUCCUAGGUAGAUAUAGAAAUUAAAUAGCUGACAGUCCUACUAAGUUUCAGUGAUGAUUAAGUUCUAACUAUAUCCCAUUUUUUCCUUACAAGGAUCUUUCAAAAUCCUCUUGUACAACUUCACUGAACAAUUUGAGUGUUACCACUGAUAAAGACAUACUACCUACCUGUCUCAGGAUUAUUUCUAAGAAACUUUGGUAAUAAUAGCUGAGAUGAGCACACUAUAAAACUUACACAGAAGAACUUAAAAACUAAAAACCCCACAGUUUGAAGCAACUAAAAUGGAGAAAAAUAUUGUAAAACAAAGUGUACUGGCAAAUAAGGUACAAUACCUGUCAGUCACAUUUUUGCUUUUUCUACAAAAAUAUUAACAGCUGGAGAGGAAGCAGUUCUCUGGAUUAGAUUAACUGCAAUGGUUUUAACAUAAAACUACAACCUUAAACACCAAUAAAAGGUAACCUUCAAACCUCUAGGCUUCAAACCUUCUAGCUUUCUUUGCUAGAACUCAGCAAACUAAAUUCCCUCACUCCAAAUUAGAGUUCUUGUUCUUAUUUUCAGAGUUGUAAAGCACUUGAGUAAAUGACUGUGCUGUGUAUUACAACAUGGUUCAGAACUGGUGAGAAAACUAAAUGAGACUUCUUGCAGACAAGGUGACUGAGUUAAGUGACAACUUUAAGAAGGUAUCAGUAAAAUCAUCACUUGAGAAAUCAAUCACUCCAAGAGCUGUUGCUUAACAACUGUGUUGCUAAGAGUUCAUUCUUCACACCUAUAUAUUCCCAUAAACUAAUUAACCAUAAACAAAGGAAAAAGUAAUUUUUGUUGCAUCUAAAAAUAAAAACCUUCAACAUUUUGAAGAUGGAUUUUUUUUACUUGCAAAAUUUCUGACAUUGUUAUUGAAAUUAAAUGUUACGCUCUAUUUUCUACAUCUCAAAUACCAGCAAGGGUAUUGGUAGCCAAUACUACACAACAUGAUGAACGCUCUCCAUUCAUUACCCAUGUAAUAUUCCAGAGUCACUUUUACAAAAACUGGUAUCAACCUUUGGCCAAGUUCAACACAAAGCCUGCGGUUUGGGUUGUAUUAUUUUUUAAUUUAAAUGACCACCAUUGCAAAUUUCUUUAGAAUCAUUUGUCAAAAGUAGCUUUUAGAGAACUUUUUAUCACUUCCAAAAAGCUGCACUGAAAAUGAAAAAUAUUUAAGAAAAGCCUGCAGAACUGAAAUAAUGUAGCUGUUCAUUACCAAAAUUGGUGACUGCCAGAUUGCAGUUACAAACUAUACUUUUUGGCAGAUGCUCAGCUCAUUAUCAUUCAGCUGUUGAAUCACAGAUCCAGCUCCCAUCACCUAAGAGGAUUACAGAACAACAGGCAGGUUUUUACUGCUUAAAGCUCAUAGAGCAAACGUCUUUCUUCUGACCUUAAGUUUGUAUGGAUCCUUCUCUUCCAGGUAAACAAUUACAGGGCUUACUGGAAGUUCUAUUAAAUAAUGCAAGAGUGGGGUUGUUUUUUUGAUUUUUCACUUAUCACAAUGGUAAUACAUAACCAAUCAAAGACAGUAAAACUUGAACUUCACUGUAUGAAACAAUCUUGUUCUCCCAAAUACUCAUAACUAUAUUCCUCUUCUACCACUGUAGGAAGUGUUAGAGCUGAAAGGAAGAAUCAGUUCACUUACCACUGAACUGAAACUGUUCUAUACUUGCAGGAAACAAGCCAGGCAACAAGACUCCCAAAAUAAAUGCUGGUGGUGCAGGAUGGACAUGAUCUGGCAAUCUGCUCUUGCAGCCCAGAGAGACAAUUGUAUCCUGGACUGCACACAGAGCAGUGUGGGCAGCAGAGUAAAGCAGGGGAUUUGCCCUCAACUCCACUCUGGUGAGAUCCCACCUGCAGUGCUGCAUCCUGCAGUAUAGGGUCUGCAGUACAGACUGCAGGGUCUGCAGUACAGGAAGGACCUGGACCUGUUGGAGCAACUGCAGAGGAUGGCCAUGAAUAUGAUCGGGGGCUGGAGCACCUCUCCCAUGAAAGCAAGCUGAGAGAGUUGGGGUGGUCUAGCCUGGAAAAGGGAAGCUCUGAGGAAACCUUGGAGUACCUUCCAGUACUUAAAGGGGUCCUACAGGAGAGCUGGAGAGAGACUUUUUAUAAGGGCAUGUAGUGGUAGGACAAGGAAAAAUGGCUUUAAACUGAAAUAGAGCAGGUUUAGAUUAGAUACUAGGAAGAAAUUUUUCACUAUGAAUGGGGAUGACAUACUGGCACAAGCUGUCCGGAGAAGCUGUGGAUGGCUCAGCUCUGGAAGUGUUCAACACCAGGUUGGAUGGGGCUUUGGGCAGCCUGGUCUAGUAAAAGGUGUCUCUGCCCAUGGCAGAGCACUGAAAUCAGGUGAUCUUUAAGGCCCCUUCCAAACCAAACCAUUCUAUGAUUCUAUGAGAUUUUGAUCUUUGCAUUCUAUCUCUUAUACAAUCAAAACGAGUUUCAAGAGAAGGUAAGACUUAAUACUCUUUAAGGUAUUUUUAAAAACAAAUGCCAACAGGCAAUUUUAUAGAUUAUUUUGAUCUAAUUUCAUUAUCCCAUUUUGAACUACCAUUGACGACUCACACAGUUUUCAAACCAAGAACUACAAUUUUGGUUAUUAGAUACAUUUCUUUAUCAGAUUUGACUGUGAGAUCAGCUUCCCCAGCACUUCCUUUUCAAAACUUUGAAAUCAUCUCUAAAAGCCAUGAAACAGACUAUCAUGCAACAUUCAGAUCCUUAAAGGAAGACUACUUUUGACAAAGAUUAAAAAAAUAUUAGUGGUUUUCAUGGUUUAGGAAUGGUAUUCUGCCAUUUAGAGUUCCCCCCAAAACACUCCAAAACAUGUGCCACUCGUUCACUCCUCCCUUCCCCCCUCCUUCCCCUCUUGGGGCUGAAGAGAAGAAUUGGAGUCACAAAAAGUGAAGAUCGUGGGUUGAGAUAAGACCAGCAAUGAAAUAAGAAAAUGAACAGUAACAGCAACAACAUUAAUAACAGAAGUGGACAAGGGAAGUGAGAGACUCCCAUGUGAAUGCUCACCCCUGCACCAACAGGAGCCCAAGAAUACCUUACUACUGCCAGGAAGGGACACCUUAUCCAUUCUUGGAAAACAACCUGAGGUGGCAUGGAAUAACCUCUGGGUCCUGGCCAU